Molecule: transfer RNA, 72 nt
Organism: Nematocida parisii ERTm3
Lineage: Eukaryota; Fungi; Microsporidia
Rfam family: tRNA
About the family: Transfer RNA (tRNA) molecules are approximately 80 nucleotides in length. Their secondary structure includes four short double-helical elements and three loops (D, anti-codon, and T loops).
Source: Rfam
GGCUUCUUAGCUCAAUGGUAGAGCGCACCCCUAGUAAGGGUGAGGCUACGGGUUCGAUUCCCGUAGAAGCCU